Molecule: transfer RNA, 75 nt
Filed under: Candidatus Liptonbacteria bacterium RIFOXYC1_FULL_36_8
Lineage: Bacteria; Candidatus Liptoniibacteriota
Description: tRNA-Phe
Rfam family: tRNA
About the family: Transfer RNA (tRNA) molecules are approximately 80 nucleotides in length.
Source: RNAcentral
GCCGCGGUAGCUCAGUGGUGGAGCGCUUGCCUGAAGAGCAAGGCGUCGGGUGUUCGAUUCACCCCCGCGGCACCA